Leptidea sinapis is the source of this 2766-nucleotide long non-coding RNA. RefSeq lists it as uncharacterized. The record is from RefSeq and is a predicted model, not a curated record. NCBI's taxonomy places the organism in Eukaryota, Metazoa, Arthropoda, Insecta, Lepidoptera, Pieridae. The transcript has 3 exons.
UUUGAGCUGAACUCGGCUCGCGGCCGUGAGCGAUGAAGCCCGGCUUGGCAGAAUGCCACCGGAAAGCGGUCACACACCAAAACACAGCGAUUUCUCGGGAAAAAACUAUAAGCGCUGUUAAUUUCACAGUUUGCAUGAUUUGCAUAAACCGGUACUGUUGGCUUAGUUCAAUUGUGUUAAACGUGCUAAGUGAUCCAGACUUUGUCUUUAAAAUUAGGUCAGCAGUUGAUUGCAAUCUUUAGUGACAGAUGAGUAUCGCAGUUGGAAUUGAUUACUGAUGAGUGUUUUGUAGCAAACUCUGAAUGGAUGCUGUAUAUCCUGCAGCGGCGUCCGCGCUGUCGCGAGGGCGGCGCCGUCGGAGGGCAGAGCCUCGACACAGACACCACACCAUGCCUGUGACCUUCGCUGAAAUCAAGGAAGUGGAUGAAGAUAAGGAUGUAGAGGAGCAAGUGUCCAGUGCGAGUAUCACUAACGUGUCCACGGAGGAGAGACGACGACGACCCGACGUGUUCGACGAGUCGCUGAGCCGCCAGUUCGUCGAGUUCCGCAACCGACGAAACCGUCGUCGACGAGAAGUCAUUCACGAACUCGACGAGUGUCAACCGGAAGAGAAUCGUGCUCACAGUGAACCCUGUUCGGAGAGUACGAGCAGCACGGCGCCUACCUAGUCCAUAAAGUAUUAUUGUGGAUAAGGAUAGAUAUUUUUAUAGCUAAUCGUCGAAAGGCCAUCACACACUGACCUGUAUAAAUACCACCGUACAUUCUGUUCCAUAUGUUUCACAGUAAUUUAUUUGUGCCUAUUUGCAGCGCCACUCGCGAGUGUCCAGAGAACAAGUUUUGACGUAUAAUACAAAUGGCUGCGAGAGAAGCGUACAAUACUCUGAAGUAUUUUUGCAUUUUGAAUUAAUUUCGGUCGUUUUCCGUGUUAUUAAUAUGUAUAAUUUUUUAAUUAAGGAAUUUACUUAAUAAAGUACACAUUUUUUUUGGAAAUAGUUUCCUAUCGAUGUUUGUUUAGCUGAGGUUGUCAAUACUGGUUUUAGUACCGCAGACUCUCGCUACAUGGCCAACAGCGCCAAAAGCGAAUAUCAAACAGGCACAAAAGAAGUUUGACAGCCACCAUUCCAGUGGUACAUAGUAGAGGUCAGUGUCGUCACAUUUCAGAAAUAAUAAUAAUAUUGUGAUAAUUUGACGUUGACCAGAGACAGAAUGGCGUGUACAAUAAAUGUAAGUAAAGUAAUAUCCUAUAAGACCCUAGUAUCAAAAUGAUUAAAUAAUAUAAUUUUACUGGCGUAGAUAUCUGUAUUAUGAAUUAUUCUUUUAGUGUUUUGCUGUCCUUGAAUAUAAUUUUAAAUUAAUAAGAUUUUCGUUAUAAAGAAUAAGUAAUACUACAAGUAGGUAGUUGUACUAAUAUAAAUUCUUUGGUUGUACUUGCAGACUAAUUAUUUAAUGACAGAUGAUUGCUAUCUUGUCUAGGUGACAUAUUAUUUUAAAUACAAUAUGUUAACAUUAAUAAAUAAUAUAUUGUUUUGUUAUCAUAGUCCAACAUUACUGCCGUAAUUUUUAUAUAUAUACAGAUAUAGGAUUAAGUAUGAAAUUCUCGGUUUGUAUAACAUCUUUUGUACGGUAAGACUUAUUUAUUUAAUCUUAAUAACCUUCACUAUUAUUUGUUCUUUAUCACGGCAAGGUCAUUUAUGCUUUUUCGGUAGAACUCUGGUGAACUGGACUCAAUAAACUUUGUGAAGUUAUUUUGUAUUUCUCCUUCAGAAGAUUCUUUUCACCAUGUAAAAAAUUGUGUAAUGUACUUUGAAAUUGUGGAAAACAUAGUCGGUUGGGGAGAGGCUAUGGUUUCCCGAGCCACUUGAGUUCUUGCGCUAUCAUGUAUGUAUAAUAAUGGUGAAGAUUGCUUGACGAAUUGGGCUGAGUUACUUGUGAGUUUUGCCAUAAUUUUGUCGAAGUUCUGUACAAUAAAAUUUUCUAUUCACCCACUACAUUCACACACAUUUCACCCCAAAAUCCUUCAUUAUUUACCUUAGUUUUUGGCCUUUUUCGAUGUUUAUUCUUCAAUUCGAAUUCGUUUCCUCAAAGCGUCCGUUAGCCGUAACGCCUUAUUUUAGAUUACAUUGCGAGCUGUUAAAAGUUGUACCUACUAGGUAUUACGUAUUCUUUGCCGAAAGUCGUAUUAAAAAAUUUCUCUAAUUGGAGGAAAUUUUCGUUGAAUCGAAACAUCUUUGCUUUUAAAGCCGAUUGAAAUGAAUUCAAUAUACAUAUACACAAUACAAAGUUGUACAUUUUCAAAUCUAGUAUGUAAUUGUUAUGCGAAAAAAGUUUAAUUUUGAAAACUCUCGUCAAGGAGCUUUUAUGAGAAUCAAAAAUAACCACCUGUAUAAUGCAUUUAAAAAAACAUCCAAAAACUUGGAAUUUUUUCUUUGUGUGCCUUUUAUUCAACAAACUAAUAAAGAUAAGUUAUUUUAGUAUUAAAAUUGAAUUAGCCAUUUUGAGUAACAUUUAUUUAUAUGUAGGUACUUAUAUAAUUCGCUAACGUCCCUUAUUAAUUAUAAAAUUCACAAGUCGUUAGAUGUUGUAAGUUUGGUAGCGUGAAAAGUGACAUUAUAAUUUUACUGUUGUUCUAAAUCAGCUCUUAAACUUACUGUGCUUAUUCUGCUGAGAGUAGAGAAUUGGUAUUUGUAAGUAUUUGCUUAUAAUAAUAAAAUUGUGUAUUUCGUAUUCGUUAUGUUGUUAGUUAAUUAAAUUAUGUACAAUUAUGAA